This 63-nucleotide transfer RNA is filed under the name Auzata chinensis. RNAcentral describes it as "tRNA-Arg". Lineage: Eukaryota; Metazoa; Arthropoda; Insecta; Lepidoptera; Drepanidae. The record is from RNAcentral.
AAAUAAGAAGCAAUACUGCAUUUAAUUUCGAAUUAAAAGAUAGAGUUAAAUACUCCUUGUUUA